This 85-nucleotide transfer RNA is filed under the name Streptomyces olivaceus. RNAcentral describes it as "tRNA-Arg". RNAcentral also lists the same sequence under 2 other names. The record is from RNAcentral. Lineage: Bacteria; Bacillati; Actinomycetota; Actinomycetes; Kitasatosporales; Streptomycetaceae.
CCCCCGCAGGUCAGCGGGCAUGACCGCCAACGCACUCCCCCGGCCUCCGGAGCCGUGUGCGCAGGUUCGAAUCCUGCCGGGGGCA